CCUACGGUGGCUGCAGUGGGGAAUAUUGCACAAUGGGGGAAACCCUGAUGCAGCGACGCCGCGUGAGUGAAGAAGUAAUUCGUUAUGUAAAGCUCUAUCAGCAGGGAAGAAAAUGACGGUACCUGAGUAAGAAGCUCCGGCUAACUACGUUCCAGCAGCCGCGGUAAUACGUAGGGGGCAAGCGUUAUCCGGAGUUACUGGGUGUAAAGGGAGCGUAGCCGGCAGUGCCAGGCUGGAGGGAAAGGCGGGGGCCCAACCCCCGGACUGCUCUGGCAACUUGACGGAUGGAGUGCAGGAGAGGUAAGUGGAAUUACUAGUGUAGCGGUGAAAUGCGUAGAUAUUAGGAGGAACACCAGUGGCGAAGGCGGCUUACUGGACUGUAACUGACGUUGAGGCUCGAAAGCGUGGGGAGCAAACAGGAUUAGAUACCCCUGUAGUC
Molecule: ribosomal RNA, 439 nt
Filed under: uncultured bacterium
Lineage: Bacteria
Description: partial 16S ribosomal RNA
Rfam family: Bacterial small subunit ribosomal RNA
Source: RNAcentral